GUGCUCAUUUUGGCAGCAUGUAUACUAAACUGGAAAUAUACAGAGGAGACUAGCGUGGCUCCUGUGCAAGGAUGACACGCAAAUUCAUGAAGCGUUCCACAUUAAA
Tupaia belangeri (northern tree shrew) is the source of this 106-nucleotide small nuclear RNA. The record is from Ensembl. NCBI's taxonomy places the organism in Eukaryota, Metazoa, Chordata, Mammalia, Scandentia, Tupaiidae.